This 67-nucleotide transfer RNA is filed under the name Neotoma lepida (desert woodrat). It matches the Rfam family "tRNA". Rfam says of the family: Transfer RNA (tRNA) molecules are approximately 80 nucleotides in length. Their secondary structure includes four short double-helical elements and three loops (D, anti-codon, and T loops). Lineage: Eukaryota; Metazoa; Chordata; Mammalia; Rodentia; Cricetidae. The record is from Rfam by way of RNAcentral.
GGAGAUNUAGCUCAGGGGUAGAGCGCUUACUUAGCAAGUAUAAUGCCCUGGGUUCAACCCAGCACCG